This is a long non-coding RNA of Camelus dromedarius (Arabian camel), 637 nucleotides long. RefSeq lists it as uncharacterized. The record is from RefSeq and is a predicted model, not a curated record. The transcript has 2 exons. NCBI's taxonomy places the organism in Eukaryota, Metazoa, Chordata, Mammalia, Artiodactyla, Camelidae.
CCUCGGAUUCGGGGCGUCACUAUCGAACCGCACGAACUGCGUGUCAUCCACGUAGCCGACUUCCACGUACCAGGGCUCCCCGAGGCCAGGCCGGGACACCCCCGUUUCGAAAUACCUCAUGGAGUGGGAACCUGGGGGCGAGAAACCCGACACCAAAUGGAGUGAGGACUGGGACCGCGUCACGAGUGUCCAGGCUGGAAGGCUCGGGGAGAAGGGGAACCCCCAGCACCGAGCGUUCUCGCCCCAGACCCCGCCCUCGGUGAGACCCCCGAGAGCCACUCCGUCCCGGGAACCUGGGACUUUGCCCUGAUCCCUCCCCUUCUGCACCGAGAGCUCUUCGUCACCAAGUCUCACUGAGUCCUGGCCCAGGGGCUAAUUCAGUGAUUUUCAAAGUUUUUGGUCAGAAUAUCUAUAUAGUCUUCCAAAUUAGGAACACCUCAAGGAUAUUAUCUAUCGAUAUUUUCCAUACUAGGAGUAAUACUGUUAAAUUAAAAAAAAUUGUAAUAACCUUUAAUGGAAAAAAAACAUGAAAACGAAUAUAUGCAUGUAUAUGCAAGACUGGGACAUCGUGCUGUACACGAGAUUGACACAUUGUAAUUGACAGCACUUCAAUUAUUAAAAAAUUAAUUUAGGUAAA